Molecule: ribosomal RNA, 253 nt
Filed under: uncultured bacterium
Lineage: Bacteria
Description: partial 16S ribosomal RNA
Rfam family: Bacterial small subunit ribosomal RNA
Source: RNAcentral
UACGGAGGGUGCGAGCGUUGUCCGGAAUCACUGGGCGUAAAGGGCGCGUAGGCGGCUCGAUAAGCGUGUGGUGAAAGCCUGGGGCUCAACCCCGGGUCGGCCAUGCGAACUGUCGAGCUGGAGCACUGUAGAGGCAGGCGGAAUUCCGGGUGUAGCGGUGGAAUGCGUAGAGAUCCGGAAGAACACCGGUGGCGAAGGCGGCCUGCUGGGCAGUAGCUGACACUGAGGCGCGACAGCGUGGGGAGCAAACAGG